ACAAGAGGUGUAUUUGAAGAACCAGAGCUCUGGAAACAACACGUAUCUCACACAGGAGACAGAGGAGUCGACCCUGAGCCCAAUUAGGCGAAGGUACUCCGGAAUUGUGUCCCUAGAAGGUGAUACAGCAGCAUUCAGAGAAACUGGACUUAACGUUCAUUAAAGAAGAGCUUGAACCAGAUACAAAAGGCGGAAACCUCAACUCAGUUGCUGAACCCACCAAAUUCACUUUGAGGAUGAAAAGUAAAGAUGCCAGGGGCUAACUGCUGGACUGAAGGAAAAAGUCAGGACUUCCAUUUCCCCUGAAGAAGAAGUGCAGAGGAUGAAGAGGGUUUUCACCAUGAUUCCGAGGGAGAAAAGUUUACAGUGGAAAGGAAAAUUUCAUUCUGAGAAUUGAAAACACCUGCUGAGAGACUGAUCAUGACACUUGGUCUUUACCUCCAUAGGAUUAUCAAGGGGAGAGAAAUUCAUGAGAUUUAUGUGGAUUCUAGAGAGUGCAUUUUAACUCCAAACCUCAGUGCUCAAAUUUAGUCUCCAUUGUACCUCAUGGAAAACAAGCGAAUUCCAUGAGGUUAUGAAGUCAUGAGAACAUCUUCUUCAUGAAUGGAUUUAGUGCACCAGUGCAGUGGCUGGGAGUAGAUCAGUUCCAUGAGGCAUGAGAAAGGUGAAUUCUGGCAAAAAGGAAACUAAGAGGAGGCUUCCAGGAUCACAAGAGUAUCCUGCUUCUUCUGGAAGCCUUCAGUGACCCAGGACUUGAAACCCUCCCCUUCAAUCCCUUACCAGCUGGGUCUAUUCAGAUACAGCCUGCAGAGGUAAAAGCCCUGUAUUGCACACACUUGGAAUUUUGGCAUCUGGGAUGUAAAAACAAGAGGAUCCUGGGAGUUCACUGGCUCCAGAGGCAAGCUGAUUCAGCAAGA
Molecule: small RNA, 917 nt
Filed under: Rattus norvegicus (Norway rat)
Lineage: Eukaryota; Metazoa; Chordata; Mammalia; Rodentia; Muridae
Description: uncharacterized LOC102552153
Source: RNAcentral